RNAcentral lists this ribosomal RNA (539 nucleotides) under Proteus mirabilis. RNAcentral's name for it is "partial 16S ribosomal RNA". It matches the Rfam family "Bacterial small subunit ribosomal RNA", at positions 30 to 558 of the family's 1533-position model. The record is from RNAcentral. Lineage: Bacteria; Pseudomonadati; Pseudomonadota; Gammaproteobacteria; Enterobacterales; Morganellaceae.
UUGACGCUGGCGGCAGGCCUACACAUGCAAGUCGAGCGGUAACANGNGAAAGCUUGCUUUCUUGCUGACGAGCGGCGGACGGGUGAGUAAUGUAUGGGGAUCUGCCCGAUAGAGGGGGAUAACUACUGGAAACGGUGGCUAAUACCGCAUAAUGUCUACGGACCAAAGCAGGGGCUCUUCGGACCUUGCACUAUCGGAUGAACCCAUAUGGGAUUAGCUAGUAGGUGGGGUAAAGGCUCACCUAGGCGACGAUCUCUAGCUGGUCUGAGAGGAUGAUCAGCCACACUGGGACUGAGACACGGCCCAGACUCCUACGGGAGGCAGCAGUGGGGAAUAUUGCACAAUGGGCGCAAGCCUGAUGCAGCCAUGCCGCGUGUAUGAAGAAGGCCUUAGGGUUGUAAAGUACUUUCAGCGGGGAGGAAGGNGAUAAGGNUAAUACCCUUAUCAAUUGACGUUACCCNCAGAANAANCACCGGCUAACUCCNUGCCAGCAGCCGCGNNAAUACNNNANGGNGCAAGCNUUAAUNNGAAUUACUGGG